RNAcentral lists this transfer RNA (64 nucleotides) under Nobia grandis. RNAcentral's name for it is "tRNA-Ala". Lineage: Eukaryota; Metazoa; Arthropoda; Thecostraca; Balanomorpha; Pyrgomatidae. The record is from RNAcentral.
AAAGUAGAAGUUUCUAAAAUAUUUGACCUGCAAUCAAAAGAAGAUAAUUUUUUAUCCUACUUUA